Molecule: ribosomal RNA, 404 nt
Filed under: Bacillota bacterium
Lineage: Bacteria; Bacillati; Bacillota
Also listed under: 2 other names
Description: Firmicutes bacterium partial 16S ribosomal RNA
Rfam family: Bacterial small subunit ribosomal RNA
Source: RNAcentral
UGGGGAAUAUUGGACAAUGGGCGAAAGCCUGAUCCAGCAAUGCCGCGUGAGUGAUGAAGGCCUUAGGGUUGUAAAGCUCUUUUACCCGGGAUGAUAAUGACAGUACCGGGAGAAUAAGCCCCGGCUAACUCCGUGCCAGCAGCCGCGGUAAUACGGAGGGGGCUAGCGUUGUUCGGAAUUACUGGGCGUAAAGCGCACGUAGGCGGCUUUGUAAGUUAGAGGUGAAAGCCCAGGGCUCAACCCUGGAAUUGCCUUUAAGACUGCAUCGCUUGAACAUCGGAGAGGUAAGUGGAAUUCCGAGUGUAGAGGUGAAAUUCGUAGAUAUUCGGAAGAACACCAGUGGCGAAGGCGACUUACUGGACGAUUGUUGACGCUGAGGUGCGAAAGCGUGGGGAGCAAACAGG